Molecule: long non-coding RNA, 1262 nt
Organism: Astatotilapia calliptera (eastern happy)
Lineage: Eukaryota; Metazoa; Chordata; Actinopteri; Cichliformes; Cichlidae
Source: Ensembl
ACGGCAGAUAGAACGGGACACUAAGAGAGAAGGUCCAGUGUUUACUUUCCAAAACCAUGGCUGACUGUUUCAAAGUGACAGCAUGAGUUGUUCUGCAGUAAACUGAACUAACCGACAGAAGGACCCGAGGCUCCACCACACUUUUCUGAUGGCUCAGCGCUCUCUAAAGGGUCAUCGUGAUGGCAUCCUAAGUGGACCAAUUUGCUCUGUCUUUUUGGGAAUCAGAAUGCUGGUGGAUGCCUUCAGACAGGGGGGAACCGUGGCAUGAGUCAGGGAGAAGUUGAACAGAGUGGUGAGGAUCUCUGGCAGCUGGGAUGCCAUCAAAGCUGGCAGCUCGCCUGGGGUUCACUGCUCUUAAUCUCCUCCUGACCUCAUGUUCCUGGAGGAGGAAAGGGGGUGAGCUGGGUGGGGGGUAGCUGCAGGUGGAGAACCUCUCCUGGUCCCUUAACACCAGCUCCUUAACUAAGAAGUCCCAACAGCAUCUCUACUUCCCGAGGAACCCGAGAAAAGCCCAUCUCCCACCACCCAUUCUCACCACCUUUUACAGAGGGACUAUCGAGAGUGUCCUGAGCAGCUGCAUCACUAUCCGGUAUGGUAACUGCACUGUAUCAGAUCGCACUACCCUACCAGGAAUAGUGAGAACAGCUGAGAAGAUCACUGGAGCCGCUCUUCCCUCCAUCACAGACACCUAUUGCACCCGCUGCAUCUGCAAAGCCAAUAACGUUGUGAAAGACCUCACACACAGUCUUCACCCUGCUGCCUUCUGGAAAGAGGCUGUAAAUGUCACGGCUGGCGGAGUGAGCCGUGUGGAGUGGAGGAAAAGGAGGACCCAAAAUGCAGCAAACUGAUGAUACGAGUGAAGUUUAUUUACACGGUGGCAGUGGCAAAAACAGGCAAUGAAGCAUGAGUAAUGACAAACCUAAACUGGGAGAAACUAAAGAGCAAACCUGAAAUCUUACAAAACGGAGAGCGGAGCAGAGAGACGCAGACCAAGGACCAGGAUACCAAGAAACACAGACGAGCCGACCACGAACACAGACCGACACCCACACAAGGAUAUGCUUGUGAAGGUGGAAUAUGGGGGAGAGCAGAAGUGAUGAAUCGAGGACAUGCAUAUUGUAUUGAAGAAAAGAACAAUGAGCAUGCUGUUGCAUUUACCUAUGUCAGACUGUUUGAUAAACAAUAUUCUAAUGAAAGUGAGAACAUGUACAUUGCUCCAUAUUGUUACAUGUUUCAGAAAAUGUUUUGAAAUUGUAGUGCAC